UUUGAGCAUAGAAGUAGCAAAGGUUGUAACUAUGGACCACCUUAUGAAUGGCAAGUCUACAAUGCCCUUGGUGGUAGUCAUGGGAUACCACGUGUCCAUUACAAGGGACGGCAAGGUGAUUACUACAUAAUGGUUAUGGAUAUGCUUGGUCCUAGUUUGUGGGAUGUCUGGAACAAUAAUUCUCAUGCGAUGAAUACUGAAAUGGUAGCAUGCAUUGCCAUUGAAGCAAUAUCCAUACUUGAGAAGUUGCACUCUAGAGGGUAUGUGCACGGGGAUGUGAAACCUGAAAACUUUCUUCUUGGAACUCCUGGAACUCCUGAUGAGAAAAACCUGUUUCUGGUUGACCUUGGAUUAGCAACUAAGUGGCGCGAUACUUCAAGUGGUCUCCAUGUUGAAUAUGACCAAAGGCCUGAUGUCUUUAGGGGAACUGUAAGGUAUGCUAGUGUGCACGCUCACCUUGGAAGAACUGGAAGCCGGAGGGAUGACCUAGAAUCGCUGGCUUACACUCUCAUCUUUCUACUUCGAGGCCGGCUGCCUUGGCAGGGAUAUCAGGGUGAGAAUAAAGGUUUCCUUGUCUGUAAGAAAAAGAUGGCGACUUCUCCAGAAACGCUUUGCUGCUUCUGCCCUGCUCCAUUUAGACAGUUUGUGGAAUAUGUUGUGAACUUGAAGUUUGAUGAGGAGCCUAAUUAUGCGAAAUAUAUCUCAUUGUUUGACGGAAUAGUAGGUCCAAAUCCAGACAUCAGGCCAAUCAACACUGAUGGUGCACAGAAGCUUAUAUAUCAAGUCGGACAGAAGAGAGGAAGGCUUACAAUGGAAGAAGAUGACGAUGAACAACCAAAGAAGAAAGUACGGAUGGGAAUGCCUGCAACACAAUGGAUUAGUGUUUACAAUGCUCGUCGCCCAAUGAAGCAAAGGUAUCAUUAUAAUGUUGCUGAUAUGAGGCUGGCUCAGCACAUUGAGAAAGGAAAUGAGGAUGGACUAUACAUUAGCAGUGUGGCAUCUUGUUCAAACUUGUGGGCCUUAAUUAUGGAUGCCGGGACUGGGUUCACUUCUCAAGUUUAUGAGUUGUCACCUUAUUUUCUUCACAAGGAGUGGAUUAUGGAGCAAUGGGAGAAGAAUUAUUAUAUUAGUGCGAUAGCAGGAGCUAAUAAUGGGAGCUCCUUAGUAGUUAUGUCAAAGGGUACCCAAUAUCUGCAGCAGUCCUACAAAGUCAGCGAGUCAUUUCCUUUCAAGUGGAUAAACAAAAAAUGGAGAGAGGGAUUCUAUGUCACGGCAAUGGCAACUGCAGGAAGUAGAUGGGCAAUUGUUAUGUCUCGUGGGGCUGGGUUCUCUGAUCAGGUGGUGGAGUUAGAUUUUCUCUAUCCUAGUGAAGGGAUUCAUAGAAGGUGGGAUGCUGGUUACCGUAUCACGUCAACUGCAGCGACAUGGGAUCAAACUGCUUUAGUUCUAAGUGUUCCAAGAAGGAAGCCUACAGAUGAAACACAAGAGACACUUCGUACUUCUGCUUUUCCUAGCACUCAUGUUAAGGAGAAGUGGGCCAAGAACCUUUAUAUUGCAUCUGUGUGUUAUGGGAGAACUGUUUCUUGAGGAACUUAAAAAAAUAUGGCAAUUUUCUUGGGUGUCGUGAUACUCUGCUGUAUGUGCCCUGAAAAAGUGCCUGCUUGUUUUUCAUCUAAAUGGAGAAAAAUGGAUGCCGUCUCUCCUCGUUCGCUAGCUGGCUCUUUUAUUCUCCUUUGGAUAUGAUAUCCCCUAAAUCCCAUAUCAGCAGUGGCUAAUUGGUGUUGUGGCUGACAAAUGCUCAGAAUUCCUAAUGUGGUUACUUGAUGGUAAGUUCCGGUAGUUUCUUUCCUCUUGUAAUUUAUUGUUUGCCACAAUUGUACACAGGAUUUAGAGCAUAAUGUUGGACCUAUGUCCUUGAGCAAGAUCCAAUUUUCAGAUAACAUUGAUCUUAUGGAUUCAUGGCCUUGUAAAUCUUGUUGUUAUUAUAAAUGGCAUUAAGAGGUACAUGAGCUUCAUGAGAUGGGACUCUUCAAAAGUACGGGCUAGAACAUGAAGAGAACUCCAGUUCGUGAAGUAUAACUGGGUAUGAUUAAUUCAAGUUUUGACAAUUUUGGAAAAGGAAGAAACUGAUUCUUUCUGCAUCUCGUAUUGCAAGGUUCGCUUUCCUCAAUAGAGUUCUGGUUCUUGUUGUAGAUUUUGGCACUUCAUGUGGUUUGGGAUUAAUUGUUGUGGUUAUUUCAAGGAUUUUGGAAUAUAGAAAUGUGGCAUGUAUCAAACCAAACUCCAUCUGCCCCUUCUUUUUUGGGAAAACGUUGGGGCUGAGGUAGGUUUUAGUAUCUGUGUAAGAAAGAUCUCAUGAAAAGAAUUUCCAUCAAACUGGUCUAGUAUGUAAAAUUAAAGGCGAUUUGGUUGGUUUUAAUUUCAAUGGAUACAAAAGACAAUAAUCUCAUUCUUCCAGAGUCUUCUAAGAGAACUCAGUAGAUAGCUAUCAUGUAAAACUUGGUGCUUUUGGAUGUGUGCUGCUUGCUGAAUGUAUGUUUUGCAUGUAUUUCAGAUUGUGAUCUUUGAGCUGUUUGAUUUGACCUGUCUUCUUGAGUUCGUUUAACCUUCCUGUGCUUCAAUGUUGUGCCUGUGAAUUUAACUGCAAUUGCCUUCUGGAUUGUUGGGGCUUGAUAUAGGAAGGCGGCAACUCUCCGUGCAGAUCGUCUUUUACUGGUCUUAGUGUAUAGCUUCUCAUUCUUGUGUGACCAAUCAUAUCUAAUGGGAUGUGCAUCUUUUGUGGUUAAGCGCUGAUCUUAUGCACAAAAAAAAAGUGCAACCAGUGUUAGUGCUAUUAGUACUGAUAUCAGAAGCUUGGUUUCCUGCAUCAAGCUGAUGCGUGUUUAGACACUGAUGGAUCCAAACACAAUUUCAACUUGGCCUAUGCUGGUAAAACUGCCGUCUUGUGGUUGCAGAAUCGCUUGAUCAAAGUUGUGACUUGCAGUUAGCCUGUUACAUAGCUGUACAAGUGCUUGAUUUAGAAUGUGUAAGGUUUAAUGUUCUGAAAUAAUGGUGCAAUUUAUGCCUAAUACAAUAACUUCUAAAAUGUAGUUAAUUACAAAAGAAAUUUGGCGCAAAUUGGUAACGGAUUAAAUGAAUCUAAUUUUUCAAGUUGGAUUUGGUCAUCCUUGACUGGGAACGCUCGUUUGGUAAUAUUAAGCGUUAACACCCCAACCCGGCCAAUCCCACUGAUAAUUGUGGGAAAAAAAAAAGGGGAAUGCAAAUGCUCGGGCCUUUAGGUUAUUUCGAUAUUUAUUUGAUUUUUUACCAUGCAAUAUGCACAAAUAGUAUUAACCAUUAUCUUGAGUUUGCACUUUCACCUUAAAGAGAGACGCCAAACCUAUUGAUGAUACCGUGCCUCAAAAUGUAACAGGCAAAAUAUUGAGUUAUUAAAACUGAAAAGAGAGUUCCUGCUGAGAGUUAGCAGUAGUAUGAAGUUGGCGUUAGAGAUUGGUCUAAUUGUAUUUUAUUGGAGAUUUGUUGGAUGAUAAAUAAGCAGUUUAUAUUAGUUCAAAGAUGUACGAACUGCAGUAUCUAUUGUAAUUUAUUGGAAAUUUGUUGGAAGAAAUAAGCUGUUUAGAUUAGUUCAAGAUACCCACAAGGGUGGUUGAAUUGGUUCAACGAGUGGUUUCCCACAUGGGUGACCUCCAACAACCUUCUUAGUUUGAGCUUGUCGUGUGAGGUUUGCCCAGUGAGGUUUACAUCUCCUGUGUGGUUUGUGGGAAUUGUAUUAGGAGCGGAAUGUUUAACUAGAGCAUCUAAAGGGUAGCGACUGUGGGUUUUCUAGUUUAAAAAAAAAAAGAAAAAAAAGAAGAGAAGAAGAAGAAGAAGAAGAAGAAGAAGAUUAGUUCAGGAUGUUUGAACUGCAGUAUCUAGUUGUAAUUUAUUGGAGAUUUGCAGUUUAGAUUAGUUCAAGAUGUACGAACUGCAAUACCGCGUUUGUCUCCUUGCCCAGUGGCACAGAAUCAACAAUAUGACCUGCACAUAAUUUUCACCAAAUUUGCAACCAAUAUGAACGUCUUUGACCCACUAUUUCUUCCUUUAUCUGGCAAUUAUUAUGGUGACACUGACAUAAUCUGGUCGUAAAUCGGGUCAAAGUUAAGAUAUGACUAGUGAAUGAAAUGUGCUGAAAUUUGAAAACUUAUGCUAAUCGAAUUUCUUAUUAGCGAGUCACUAAGUAGCUAGUUGUGAGAAUAAUAACACAAUUAUGUUAAAUGAAUAAAAUAAGAAAAUAAAAAAAAAA
Molecule: RNA transcript, 4282 nt
Organism: Lycium barbarum (goji berry)
Lineage: Eukaryota; Viridiplantae; Streptophyta; Magnoliopsida; Solanales; Solanaceae
Gene name: casein kinase 1-like protein HD16
Exons: 15
Source: RefSeq, a predicted model, not a curated record